This 512-nucleotide ribosomal RNA is filed under the name uncultured bacterium. RNAcentral's name for it is "bacterial SSU rRNA". It matches the Rfam family "Bacterial small subunit ribosomal RNA", at positions 36 to 507 of the family's 1533-position model. The record is from RNAcentral.
CUGGCGGCGUGCCUAAUACAUGCAAGUCGAAACGCACUCUCGUUUAGAUUGAAGGAGCUUGCUCUGAUUGAUAAACAUUUGAGUGAGUGGCGGACGGGUGAGUAACACGUGGGUAACCUGCCCUAAAGUGGGGGAUAACAUUUGGAAACAGAUGCUAAUACCGCAUAAAACCUAACACCGCAUGGUGUAGGGUUGAAAGAUGGUUUCGGCUAUCACUUUAGGAUGGACCCGCGGUGCAUUAGUUAGUUGGUGAGGUAAAGGCUCACCAAGACCGUGAUGCAUAGCCGACCUGAGAGGGUAAUCGGCCACACUGGGACUGAGACACGGCCCAGACUCCUACGGGAGGCAGCAGUAGGGAAUCUUCCACAAUGGACGAAAGUCUGAUGGAGCAACGCCGCGUGAGUGAAGAAGGUUUUCGGAUCGUAAAACUCUGUUGUUGGAGAAGAAUGUAUCUGAUAGUAACUGAUCAGGUAGUGACGGUAUCCAACCAGAAAGCCACGGCUAACUACGUG